RNAcentral lists this ribosomal RNA (345 nucleotides) under Scolecomorphus cf. kirkii BMNH-2005.890. Its description in RNAcentral is "partial 12S ribosomal RNA". It matches the Rfam family "Bacterial small subunit ribosomal RNA", at positions 869 to 1384 of the family's 1533-position model. Lineage: Eukaryota; Metazoa; Chordata; Amphibia; Gymnophiona; Scolecomorphidae. The record is from RNAcentral.
CCGCCAGAGUACUACGAAUAUAGCUUAAAACUCAAAGGACUUGGCGGUGCCCCACCCAACCAGAGGAGCCUGUUCUAUAAUCGAUAAUCCACGCUAAACCUCACCACUUUUUGUUAUUACAGUUUAUAUACCACCGUCAUCAAUUAACCUUGUGAAAGAAAUUUAGUUGAUAAAAUUAAUAAUACUAAGUACGUCAGGUCAAGGUGUAGCAUAUAAAGUGGAAAGAAAUGGGCUACAUUUUCUUAAAAAGAAAACACGAAUUAAUGUUAUGAAAAAACACUUGAAGGCGGAUUUGGAAGUAAAAAGAAACAAGAAUAUUCUUUUUAAUUAGGAUAUGAGGCGCGC